GACGAACGCUGGCGGCGUGCUUAACACAUGCAAGUCGAACGGAAAGGCCCUGCUUUUGUGGGGUGCUCGAGUGGCGAACGGGUGAGUAACACGUGAGUAACCUGCCCUUGACUUUGGGAUAACUUCAGGAAACUGGGGCUAAUACCGGAUAGGAGCUCCUGCUGCAUGGUGGGGGUUGGAAAGUUUCGGCGGUUGGGGAUGGACUCGCGGCUUAUCAGCUUGUUGGUGGGGUAGUGGCUUACCAAGGCUUUGACGGGUAGCCGGCCUGAGAGGGUGACCGGCCACAUUGGGACUGAGAUACGGCCCAGACUCCUACGGGAGGCAGAAGUGGGGAAUAUUGCACAAUGGGCGGAAGCCGGAUGCGGCAACGCCGCGUGCGGAUGACGGCCUUCGGGUUGUAAACCGCUUUCGCCUGUGACGAAGCGUGAGUGACGGUAAUGGGUAAAGAAGCACCGGCUAACUACGUG
RNAcentral lists this ribosomal RNA (467 nucleotides) under uncultured bacterium. RNAcentral describes it as "partial 16S ribosomal RNA". It matches the Rfam family "Bacterial small subunit ribosomal RNA", at positions 28 to 507 of the family's 1533-position model. The record is from RNAcentral.